GGUGGAUCCAUUUAGGCAAAUCGUAUAACGGCAUAUUAAUCAAAUUUACGAUAUCUGGUGUCGUAGCUGUUGUUUUUACUUUCGUUUCGAUAUAUUUGCAGAGGGAUUCUCCGCACUCGUGAAUUUGGAAAAUAAAAGCUCCGUGAGAGUGGCUCAAUUUUUUCCCCGUCGAACGUGGAGACCUUUCUGUAAUCCUGAAGGUCGGAGUCGAUGGCGAAGCGGAGAACGGAUGCCAAAAGACGAUCAAACGACGAGGAUGAGAAUUUACACUUGGACGAUUUUAAAAACGCAGAGAUCCAGAUUUUACGAGGUGGGAUCGAUCGUGAAAGGAGAAAGAGAUAAAAAGAAAAGGAGCGUCCCAAUUUUAAACCCAAGGAUUGAUUAUAAACGAGAAAGAUG
Molecule: unclassified non-coding RNA, 399 nt
Filed under: Athalia rosae (coleseed sawfly)
Lineage: Eukaryota; Metazoa; Arthropoda; Insecta; Hymenoptera; Athaliidae
Description: misc RNA ENSAEAG00005002600.1
Source: RNAcentral